UCUCCCUCUCUCUUCCUCGCUGAAAUCACUCAAAAGAAAAAAAGCAGCACCCACCUCACCUGGCCUAAGGGGUGCCUGCCCGGAAGCUUCUGUAGCCCUGACAGGUUUCCCUGACCUUGUCAGGCAGGAAGGGAGGGAGAGAGGAGCCAGGAGGACCAACAGCCAGAAGGGCGGGCGCUUGGGUUUCCUCCCCUCCCGCUCCCUCCCACCUCACCCACCCCGUGACCCCCAGGGUGAGCCAGGCACCACUGUCAUUGGUGGGCUUCCAGCUGUAACCCAUUUUCAGUCUCAGCCUCUUUCCGGGAUUUGACUUGCUGUUCUUUCCAAAGCCCCGGCUCUCCAAGUGAUGCCAGCCCAGGGAGGGGGCGCCUGAAUCUCGUCUUGUGGGCAGAGGUAGCACACCAGCCGGGUGAACAGAGCCCAUCGGGUCUGUCCGGAGCUGCUCGUCCCCACAGCCUCCAGCGACCACCUCACCCCAGCCUCUGGGACCCUGGCUCGUCGUCCAGAUCGACUCCUGGCAGCCCUUCAGCAGGAAGAGCCUUCGCUCCCUCCCUUAGCGAUCGGAACGGGGGCAGAGGGUUCAGUGUACGGCACCGAAACUGUGGUCUUGUGUGUACUUCCCCGCUCAGGACACAGACGCCAAAAACGUUGGAGAUGAAAGUGUGCUGGACUGGGAACAUCUGCCAUAAGUGGUUUGGCAUAACAUCUGCGUCCCUUGGUAGCGUUUAUCACUUCACUGAGCAGCUAACCUUCUCGAGCCAUCCUUGAGCCACAUCCUGGGGGACACUGUGUUAGGAACCCUUGGGUCCACCCCUGGCUCUGCCAGGUCUGAGUUCUGCUCUUUGGGGCCACCUGCUUCCCUGUCUGGGCCUUGGUUUCUUUGCCUGUAAAAUAGAGAUCGGUAUACCUACGUCUCAGAGCUCUUUUAGGACCAGAGGAAGUGACUCCUAAUGGGCACACGGUAAAGAGUAGCUUAACAUAUUUUAGAUUUUGGGGGGAGGGGGGUUAAUCCUCACCAGAGGAUUUUUCACUGAUUUUUAAAGACAGUGGAAGAGAGGG
Myotis brandtii (Brandt's bat) is the source of this 1059-nucleotide long non-coding RNA. RefSeq lists it as uncharacterized. The record is from RefSeq and is a predicted model, not a curated record. NCBI's taxonomy places the organism in Eukaryota, Metazoa, Chordata, Mammalia, Chiroptera, Vespertilionidae. The transcript is spliced from 3 exons.